CAGCAGCCGCGGUAAUACGUAUGGGACGAGCGUUGUCCGGAAUUACUGGGCGUAAAGGGCGCGCAGGCGGAUAUUUAAGUCAGCUGUAAAAGGCAUGAGCUCAACUCAUGUAUGCGGUUGAAACUGGGUAUCUAGAGUGCUGGAGAGGUAGGCGGAAUUCCCGGUGUAGCGGUGUAAUGCGUAGAUAUCGGGAAGAACACCAGUGGCGAAGGCGGCUUACUGGCCAGCAACUGACGCUGAGGCGCGAAAGCCAGGGGAGCGAACGGGAUUAGAUACCCCGGUAGUCCCGGCCGUAAACGAUGAAUGCUAGGUGUGGGUGUCGAGAGGCAUCCGUGCCGGAGUUAACGCGAUAAGCAUUCCGCCUGGGGAGUACGAUCGCAAGAUUGAAACUCAAAGGAAUUGACGGGGGCCCGCACAAGCGGUGGAGCACGUGGUUUAAUUCGAUGCAAACCGAA
RNAcentral lists this ribosomal RNA (455 nucleotides) under uncultured bacterium. Its description in RNAcentral is "bacterial SSU rRNA". It matches the Rfam family "Bacterial small subunit ribosomal RNA", at positions 509 to 965 of the family's 1533-position model. The record is from RNAcentral.